GUGUGACGGGGAAACUUCGCAGGCAGGCUAAAGGGCUCCCCGGUUUAAAAGUGAGCAGGGCUCUCCAUGUAUGGGACUGUGGUCCUGAUUCGAAGCCACGGUUCCAGGGCCGUAUAUGGAGAGCCUGUGAUUUGUAAGACACCCUCGUGGCACAGCAAACUACAACUGCAUACGGGAUCCCAGUUGGGAAGCCCUUAUCGAGGAGCGCAACUGUAUAGCCAUAUAGGAACGACAACACGAAGGAAAGAAGAGUUCCCACCAUAAAUCCAGAGAAUGCCAGACUUUGAUGCCAAAGUUUGAUGCCAAAAUUUGCCCACAAAGGCCUGCCGAGCCACCUUCACAAGAUUGUUUGGAUGCAGGAUGAUGUCAGUAUGUUUGUUCCUUCCAGAUGAGGUCACUGCCAACAUGACCCUGGUGGAGGAGAGCCUGACGGCCGAGUUUGUCCAGGACCUCUCCAUGACCCUUCAGCCUGUGAAGGUGGCCCACACACUGCCUUCCUAGAGUUCAGCUAUUUCACAGACCUGCUGCCUCUGCUCGUUGACCAGCGUCUCUUGAUUGGUUGCAGGACACAGACCUGAUAAAGAUCACCACUCAGGCAGCAAAGCACAGCAGCCUCAAUCACAAGGUGGCACACACACAGCACUUAAGAAGAUCCUAAGAGGGGAGCAGCCAAUAAAUAUCAUACUAUUAUUAUUCAUAUCUAAUGAAUUUAAAAGAGUAACAGUCUCUCUUAUCCAUUUUCCUGACUCCUUGUCUUCUAUGUGGGGAUCCAAGACCUUUACUAGUCGGGGUGGGGGAGGGUCUGUUUGCAUCUGCCAAACUGUUUGCAUCUGCCAGGUGUGCCUGUCCCAAAACAUCCUAUAGGCUACAGUUAAUCUCUUUCCAUAACAUUUUGGAGAAUUAAGGAGAAUUAAGGAGAAUUAAGGAGUAUGAGAGGCUCAAAUAAAGAUGUUACAGAACUGCUGUAUUUGAAGCACUCCUCCCUUCUGCCCUGUUUCCCUGAUGUUGCUAAGGUAACCAAGCUGUUUUUAGCAUCCCUGUAACUGUCGCUUCUGCGGAGAGUUGGUUUUCUUAACUAAAACUCAUAAAGAACUACCUAAGAACAAA
Salvelinus fontinalis (brook trout) is the source of this 1107-nucleotide long non-coding RNA. RefSeq lists it as uncharacterized. The transcript has 4 exons. The record is from RefSeq and is a predicted model, not a curated record. NCBI's taxonomy places the organism in Eukaryota, Metazoa, Chordata, Actinopteri, Salmoniformes, Salmonidae.